CAGCCGCCGCGGGAAUACGUAGGGUGCAAGCGUUAAUCGGAAUUACUGGGCGUAAAGCGUGCGCAGGCGGUUAUAUAAGUCAGAUGUGAAAUCCCCGGGCUCAACCUGGGAACUGCAUUUGAGACUGUAUGGCUAGAGUGUGUCAGAGGGGGGUAGAAUUCCACGUGUAGCAGUGAAAUGCGUAGAUAUGUGGAGGAAUACCGAUGGCGAAGGCAGCCCCCUGGGAUAACACUGACGCUCAUGCACGAAAGCGUGGGGAGCAAACAGGAUUAGAUACCCCGGUAGUCCCUGUCUCUUAUAC
This 301-nucleotide ribosomal RNA is filed under the name uncultured bacterium. Its description in RNAcentral is "partial 16S ribosomal RNA". It matches the Rfam family "Bacterial small subunit ribosomal RNA", at positions 509 to 807 of the family's 1533-position model. The record is from RNAcentral.